UCGAACGGCAGCACGGACUUCGGUCUGGUGGCGAGUGGCGAACGGGUGAGUAAUGUAUCGGAACGUGCCCAGUAGCGGGGGAUAACUACGCGAAAGCGUAGCUAAUACCGCAUACGCCCUACGGGGGAAAGCAGGGGAUCGCAAGACCUUGCACUAUUGGAGCGGCCGAUAUCGGAUUAGCUAGUUGGUGGGGUAACGGCUCACCAAGGCGACGAUCCGUAGCUGGUUUGAGAGGACGACCAGCCACACUGGGACUGAGACACGGCCCAGACUCCUACGGGAGGCAGCAGUGGGGAAUUUUGGACAAUGGGGGAAACCCUGAUCCAGCCAUCCCGCGUGUGCGAUGAAGGCCUUCGGGUUGUAAAGCACUUUUGGCAGGAAAGAAACGUCAUGGGCUAAUACCCCGUGAAACUGACGGUACCUGCAGAAUAAGCACCGGCUAACUACGUGCCAGCAGCCGCGGUAAUACGUAGGGUGCAAGCGUUAAUCGGAAUUACUGGGCGUAAAGCGUGCGCAGGCGGUUCGGAAAGAAAGAUGUGAAAUCCCAGAGCUUAACUUUGGAACUGCAUUUUUAACUACCGGGCUAGAGUGUGUCAGAGGGAGGUGGAAUUCCGCGUGUAGCAGUGAAAUGCGUAGAUAUGCGGAGGAACACCGAUGGCGAAGGCAGCCUCCUGGGAUAACACUGACGCUCAUGCACGAAAGCGUGGGGAGCAAACCAGA
RNAcentral lists this ribosomal RNA (720 nucleotides) under Achromobacter sp. PRS-17. RNAcentral's name for it is "bacterial SSU rRNA". It matches the Rfam family "Bacterial small subunit ribosomal RNA", at positions 62 to 777 of the family's 1533-position model. The record is from RNAcentral. Lineage: Bacteria; Pseudomonadati; Pseudomonadota; Betaproteobacteria; Burkholderiales; Alcaligenaceae.